Molecule: ribosomal RNA, 258 nt
Filed under: uncultured bacterium
Lineage: Bacteria
Description: partial 16S ribosomal RNA
Rfam family: Bacterial small subunit ribosomal RNA
Source: RNAcentral
UUGAACGCUGGCGGCAGGCCUAACACAUGCAAGUCGAGCGGAUGAAGGGAGCUUGCUCCUGGAUUCAGCGGCGGACGGGUGAGUAAUGCCUAGGAAUCUGCCUGGUAGUGGGGGAUAACGUCCGGAAACGGGCGCUAGUACCGCAUACGUCCUGAGGGAGAAAGUGGGGGAUCUUCGGACCUCGCGCUAUCAGAUGAGCCUAGGUCGGAUUAGCUAGUUGGUGGGGUAAAGGCCUACCAAGGCGACGAUCCGUAACUG